AACUUUCAACAACGGAUCUCUUGGUUCUGGCAUCGAUGAAGAACGCAGCGAAAUGCGAUAAGUAAUGUGAAUUGCAGAAUUCAGUGAAUCAUCGAAUCUUUGAACGCACAUUGCGCCCCUUGGUAUUCCGGGGGGCAUGCCUGUUCG
Molecule: ribosomal RNA, 147 nt
Filed under: Botrytis cinerea
Lineage: Eukaryota; Fungi; Ascomycota; Leotiomycetes; Helotiales; Sclerotiniaceae
Also listed under: 4 other names
Description: 5.8S ribosomal RNA
Rfam family: 5.8S ribosomal RNA
About the family: 5.8S ribosomal RNA (5.8S rRNA) is a component of the large subunit of the eukaryotic ribosome.
Source: RNAcentral